RNAcentral lists this ribosomal RNA (253 nucleotides) under uncultured bacterium. Its description in RNAcentral is "partial 16S ribosomal RNA". It matches the Rfam family "Bacterial small subunit ribosomal RNA", at positions 524 to 776 of the family's 1533-position model. The record is from RNAcentral.
GACGAACCGUGCGAACGUUGUUCGGAAUCACUGGGCUUAAAGGGCGCGUAGGCGGGCUCACAAGUCAGGGGUGAAAGCCCACGGCUCAACCGUGGAAGUGCCUUUGAUACUGUGGGUCUGGAGGGAGGUAGGGGCGUGCGGAACUUCCGGUGGAGCGGUGAAAUGCGUAGAUAUCGGAAGGAACACCGGUGGCGAAAGCGGCGCGCUGGACCUCUUCUGACGCUGAGGCGCGAAAGCCAGGGGAGCAAACGGG